This 680-nucleotide ribosomal RNA is filed under the name Pseudomonas oryzihabitans. RNAcentral describes it as "bacterial SSU rRNA". It matches the Rfam family "Bacterial small subunit ribosomal RNA", at positions 83 to 759 of the family's 1533-position model. The record is from RNAcentral. Lineage: Bacteria; Pseudomonadati; Pseudomonadota; Gammaproteobacteria; Pseudomonadales; Pseudomonadaceae.
CUCCUCGAUUCAGCGGCGGACGGGUGAGUAAUGCCUAGGAAUCUGCCUAGUAGUGGGGGACAACGUUUCGAAAGGAACGCUAAUACCGCAUACGUCCUACGGGAGAAAGUGGGGGAUCUUCGGACCUCACGCUAUUAGAUGAGCCUAGGUCGGAUUAGCUAGUUGGUAGGGUAAAGGCCUACCAAGGCGACGAUCCGUAACUGGUCUGAGAGGAUGAUCAGUCACACUGGAACUGAGACACGGUCCAGACUCCUACGGGAGGCAGCAGUGGGGAAUAUUGGACAAUGGGCGAAAGCCUGAUCCAGCCAUGCCGCGUGUGUGAAGAAGGCCUUCGGGUCGUAAAGCACUUUAAGUUGGGAGGAAGGGCUCAUAGCGAAUACCUGUGAGUUUUGACGUUACCAACAGAAUAAGCACCGGCUAACUUCGUGCCAGCAGCCGCGGUAAUACGAAGGGUGCAAGCGUUAAUCGGAAUUACUGGGCGUAAAGCGCGCGUAGGUGGCUUGAUAAGUUGGAUGUGAAAUCCCCGGGCUCAACCUGGGAACUGCAUCCAAAACUGUCUGGCUAGAGUGCGGUAGAGGGUAGUGGAAUUUCCAGUGUAGCGGUGAAAUGCGUAGAUAUUGGAAGGAACACCAGUGGCGAAGGCGACUACCUGGACUGACACUGACACUGAGGUGCGAAAG